This 253-nucleotide ribosomal RNA is filed under the name uncultured bacterium. Its description in RNAcentral is "partial 16S ribosomal RNA". It matches the Rfam family "Bacterial small subunit ribosomal RNA", at positions 524 to 776 of the family's 1533-position model. The record is from RNAcentral.
UACGUAGGGUGCGAGCGUUAAUCGGAAUUACUGGGCGUAAAGCGUGCGCAGGCGGUUUUGUAAGCCAGAUGUGAAAUCCCCGGGCUUAACCUGGGAAUGGCAUUUGGGACUGCAAGGCUUGAGUGCGGCAGAGGAGACUGGAAUUCCUGGUGUAGCAGUGAAAUGCGUAGAUAUCAGGAGGAAUACCGAUGGCGGAGGCAGGUCUCUGGGCUGACACUGACGCUCAUGCACGAAAGCGUGGGGAGCAAACAGG